CGAGAGUACAGCCAAUGGAACGCGACUCCGGCAACACACCCGCCCUGAUCCACUAGGAACAAACCGCUCAGAGCGCAGAGGUGGGACCUGAUCCUGGCGCCGCGAGCAAGUUAAGUCCAGCCGGAGCCAUGUCGCUAAGAAGAAGCACCUGUGGUACCUGCACAGGGACUGACAGAACCAAAGACAGUGAGGAGUGGUUGCCUGGACUCUGCUGAUGGAUGAAAAAGCACCCAACUGAGGCUGAGCCAUCUGAGAGUGGAGUGUUCACAAGGAUAGUACCUUUUCUGGGUGCUUCUGAUGCUGUGUCUCCUUGCUGGAGGAGGAGUUGUGUGCUGAGCUGGGCAGGCAUGUUACUCAUUGGUUCACCAAGCUGUGGCUAGGAGUCCCUGUUGCUUUGGAAGUCCUACAGGCAAUCCAAACAGUGUUGAAGGGGCCCUACUUCUUCAAAGAAGACAUGAGGCAAAGAACCCAAAAGAAGAUGGCUUGACAGAUGCACAAGGGGGCGCACGCAUCUGGAGUUUGUUUGCAGAGGCUGGAAGCCCUGGCGCGCCCAUUCUCUC
Jaculus jaculus (lesser Egyptian jerboa) is the source of this 560-nucleotide long non-coding RNA. RefSeq lists it as uncharacterized. The transcript has 3 exons. NCBI's taxonomy places the organism in Eukaryota, Metazoa, Chordata, Mammalia, Rodentia, Dipodidae. The record is from RefSeq and is a predicted model, not a curated record.